GACGAACGCUGGCGGCGUGCUUAACACAUGCAAGUCGAACGCGCCUGUCCUCUGGGUUUCUGGUGGGUGGGUGAGUGGCGAACGGGUGAGUAACACGUGAGUAACCUGCCCCCUUCUUCGGGAUACCGGUCUGAAAGGGCUGCUAAUACCGGGUAUUCACUGGUCUCCGCAUGGGGUCUGGUGGAAAGGUUUUUUUCUGGUGGGGGAUGGGCUCGCGGCCUAUCAGCUUGUUGGUGGGGUGAUGGCCCACCAAGGCUUUGACGGGUAGCCGGCCUGAGAGGGUGACCGGGCACAUUGGGACUGAGAUUCGGCCCAGACUCCUACGGGAGGCAGCAGUGGGGAAUAUUGCACAAUGGGCGCAAGCCUGAUGCAGCGACGCCGCGUGAGGGAUGGAGGCCUUCGGGUUGUGAACCCCUUUCGCCCGUGGUCAAGCCGCGACGUGGGUCGUGGUGAGGGUAGUGGGUAAAGAAGCGCCGGCUAACUACGUG
This 488-nucleotide ribosomal RNA is filed under the name uncultured bacterium. RNAcentral's name for it is "partial 16S ribosomal RNA". It matches the Rfam family "Bacterial small subunit ribosomal RNA", at positions 28 to 507 of the family's 1533-position model. The record is from RNAcentral.